CCCAUUUGGUAGUGAGGCAGGUAUGGGGCUAGAAGCACUGGUGCCCCUGGCCGUGAUAGUGACCAUCUUCCUGCUCCUGGUGGACCUGAUGCACCGGCGCCAACGCUGGGCUGCACGCUACCCACCAGGCCCCCUGCCACUGCCCGGGCUGGGCAACCUGCUGCAUGUGGACUUCCAGAACACACCAUACUGCUUCGACCAGGUGAGGGAGGAGGUCCUGGAGGGUGGCAGAGGUGCUGAGGCUCCCCUACCAGAAGCAAACAUGGAUGGUGGGUGAAACCACAGGCUGCACCAGAAGCCAGGCUGAGAAGGGGAAGCAGGUUUGGGGGACUUCCUGGGGAAGGGCAUUUAUACAUGGCAUGAAGGACUGGAUUUUCCAAAGGCCAAGGAAGACUAGGGCAAGGGCCUCGAGGUGGAGCUGGACUUGGCAGUGGGCGUGCAAGCCCAUUGGGCAACAUAUGUUAUGGAGCACAAAGUCCCUUCUGCUGACACCAGAAGGAAAGGCCUUGGGAAUGGAAGAUGAGUUAGUCCUGAGUGCCGUUUAAAUCACGAAAUCGAGGAUGAAGGGGGUGCAGUGACCCGGUUCAAACCUUUUGCACUGUGGGUCCUCGGGCCUCACUGCUCACCGGCAUGGACCAUCAUCUGGGAAUGGGAUGCUAACUGGGGCCUCUCGGCAAUUUUGGUGACUCUUGCAAGGUCAUACCUGGGUGACGCAUCCAAACUGAGUUCCUCCAUCACAGAAGGUGUGACCCCCACCCCCGCCCCAGGAUCAGGAGGCUGGGUCUCCUCCUUCCACCUGCUCACUCCUGGUAGCCCCGGGGGUCGUCCAAGGUUCAAAUAGGACUAGGACCUGUAGUCUGGGGUGAUCCUGGCUUGACAGAGGCCCUGACCCUCCCUCUGCAGUUGCGGCGCCGCUUCGGGGACGUGUUCAGCCUGCAGCUGGCUUGGACGCCGGUGGUCGUGCUCAAUGGGCUGGCGGCCGUGCGCGAGGCGCUGGUGACCCACGGCGAGGACACCGCCGACCGCCCCCCUGUGCCCAUCACCCAGAUCCUGGGUUUUGGGCCGCGUUCCCAAGGGGUGUUCCUGGCGCGCUAUGGGCCCGCGUGGCGCGAGCAGAGGCGCUUCUCCGUGUCCACCUUGCGCAACUUGGGCCUGGGCAAGAAGUCGCUGGAGCAGUGGGUGACCGAGGAGGCCGCCUGCCUUUGUGCCGCCUUCGCCAACCACUCCGGACGCCCCUUUCGCCCCAACGGCCUCUUGGACAAAGCUGUGAGCAACGUGAUCGCCUCCCUCACCUGCGGGCGCCGCUUCGAGUACGACGACCCUCGCUUCCUCAGGCUGCUGGACCUAGCUCAGGAGGGACUGAAGGAGGAGUCGGGCUUUCUGCGCGAGGUGCUGAAUGCCAUCCCCGUCCUCCUGCACAUCCCAGCGCUGGCUGGCAAGGUCCUACGCUUCCAAAAGGCUUUCCUGACCCAGCUGGAUGAGCUGCUAACUGAGCACAGGAUGACCUGGGACCCAGCCCAGCCCCCCCGAGACCUGACUGAGGCCUUCCUGGCAGAGAUGGAGAAGGCCAAGGGGAACCCUGAGAGCAGCUUCAAUGAUGAGAACCUGCGCAUAGUGGUGGCUGACCUGUUCUCUGCCGGGAUAGUGACCACCUCGACCACGCUGGCCUGGGGCCUCCUGCUCAUGAUCCUACAUCCGGAUGUGCAGCGCCGUGUCCAACAGGAGAUCGACGACGUGAUAGGGCAGGUGCGGCGACCAGAGAUGGGUGACCAGGCUCGCAUGCCCUACACCACUGCCGUGAUUCACGAGGUGCAGCGCUUUGGGGACAUCGUCCCCCUGGGUGUGACCCAUAUGACAUCCCGUGACAUCGAAGUACAGGGCUUCCGCAUCCCUAAGGGCACGACGCUCUUCACCAACCUGUCAUCAGUGCUGAAGGAUAAGGCUGUCUGGGAGAAGCCCUUCCGCUUCCACCCCGAACACUUCCUGGAUGCCCAGGGCCACUUUGUGAAGCCGGAGGCCUUCCUGCCUUUCUCAGCAGGCCGCCGCGCAUGCCUCGGGGAGCCCCUGGCCCGCAUGGAGCUCUUCCUCUUCUUCACCUCCCUGCUGCAGCACUUCAGCUUCUCGGUGCCCACCGGACAGCCCCGGCCCAGCCACCAUGGUGUCUUUGCUUUCCUGGUGACCCCAUCCCCCUAUGAGCUUUGUGCUGUGCCCCGCUAGAAUGGGGUACCUAGUCCCCAGCCUGCUCCCUAGCCAGGG
RNAcentral lists this small RNA (2256 nucleotides) under Pan troglodytes (chimpanzee). Its description in RNAcentral is "retained intron". Lineage: Eukaryota; Metazoa; Chordata; Mammalia; Primates; Hominidae. The record is from RNAcentral.